UGCGAGUUUUUGUAGUAAUACAAGGCAUACGGCUCAGUAACACGUAGUCAACCUACCCUAUGGACGAGGAUAAUCUCGGGAAACUGAGCAUAAUACUCGAUAGACCAUAAUGCCUGGAAUGGUUUAUGGUUGAAAUGAUUCGUUCGCCAUAGGAUGGGACUGCGGCCUAUCAGCUUGUUGGUGAGGUAAUGGCCCACCAAGGCGAUUACAGGUACGGGCUCUGAGAGGAGAAGCCCGGAGAUGGGUACUGAGACAAGGACCCAGGCCCUAUGGGGCGCAGCAGGCGAGAAAACUUUGCAAUGUGCGAAAGCACGACAAGGUUAGUCCGAGUGAUUUCUGCUAAAGAGAUCUUUUGCAAGUUCUAAAACCACUAGUGAAUAAGGGGUGGGCAAGUUCUGGUGUCAGCCGCCGCGGUAAAACCAGCACCUCAAGUGGUCAGGAGGAUUAUUGGGCCUAAAGCAUCCGUAGCCGGCUUUGUUAGUUUUCGGUUAAAUCCAUGUGCUCAACGCAUGGGCCGCCGAAAAUACUGCACAGCUAGGGAGUGGGAGAGGUAGACGGUACUCAGUAGGAAGGGGUAAAAUCCUUUGAUCUAUUGAUGACCACCUGUGGCGAAGGCGGUCUACCAGAACACGUUCGACGGUGAGGGAUGAAAGCUGGGGGAGCAAACCGGAUUAGAUACCCGGGUAGUCCCAGCUGUAAACGAUGCAGACUCGAUGAUGCAUUGGCAUAUAGCCAGUGCAGUGUC
This 745-nucleotide ribosomal RNA is filed under the name uncultured Candidatus Nitrosopumilus sp. Its description in RNAcentral is "bacterial SSU rRNA". It matches the Rfam family "Archaeal small subunit ribosomal RNA", at positions 52 to 802 of the family's 1478-position model. The record is from RNAcentral. Lineage: Archaea; Thermoproteati; Nitrososphaerota; Nitrososphaeria; Nitrosopumilales; Nitrosopumilaceae.